RNAcentral lists this transfer RNA (72 nucleotides) under Perkinsus marinus ATCC 50983. It matches the Rfam family "tRNA". From Rfam's summary of the family: Transfer RNA (tRNA) molecules are approximately 80 nucleotides in length. Their secondary structure includes four short double-helical elements and three loops (D, anti-codon, and T loops). The record is from Rfam by way of RNAcentral. Lineage: Eukaryota; Perkinsozoa; Perkinsida; Perkinsidae.
GGUGUUGUAGCGUAAUGGAAGCGUGUCGUUUUGUGGAGCUGAAGGUUGUGGGUUCAAAUCCCGUCUGGAUUA